CUCCCUGCACUAGCUCGGCCAUACCCCUGGCUCCGCCUGAACAUGCCAGUGUAUCCAUUAGCUCCUCCUCUUCCUCUCCUGUGGCUCUUCCCUCAAGUCCAGAGCCCAAAAUUGACUCCAGCAGCUUCUGGAAAAGCUGUAAUGCAGCAGGAUGUACAGAGGCCAUCUUCACUGACUUCCUUGAUGGCAUGAAAAAUAUCUCCAGCAAAAUCCAAUCAGAUCAGGCCAGCCAGGAGGAAUAUGAUCUUGCAUUGUCGGUGAUGGCAGCUUCUGGAAAAUUGUCAGAAUUUGUGGCUAAGCAGCAGGAAGAGCUACAGAAGAAACAAAUGGAACUGCAGAAGGCGGCGGCAGCGAUGAAAGAUGUUGUCUCAGCACUGAGAAAAUGAGCUGAUGAGCAGCUACUGAGUGUUAGCUAUUAAAGCUAGGUUUUUUUGUCUGUGAUUACAUUUUUAACAUUUUAUAAAAAAAAUAUAUAUAUUUAUACUUUUAUAUGGAA
Oreochromis niloticus (Nile tilapia) is the source of this 496-nucleotide long non-coding RNA. RefSeq lists it as uncharacterized. The transcript is spliced from 3 exons. The record is from RefSeq and is a predicted model, not a curated record. Lineage: Eukaryota; Metazoa; Chordata; Actinopteri; Cichliformes; Cichlidae.